AUUAGCUAUGAAGGUUUCAUUAUUUCGAGUCAAAUGGUACUUUACCAUUUCCUUGAGUAUAUAUCAUAUAUAUACACUCAAUGUAGUCAUAAGGAUUUUCAUUCUUAGUUCUUUCGAAUUAAGAGGUGCAACUCUAUGACAUAGUCAUAAAGUUCAAACCAUUCAACUGAGACGGUUUAUAAAUCCUUAUCGACUACCUUGGAGCUUUUGGCAUAGGAACUAGGUUGGUAUAUUUGUUGAUUACUAUCUUGUCUCUCAAAGAACCAUUCUUUGAGUUCUAUCCCUCGUUCAUUUGCUCUUAGGCAAAUCACAUUGUAGGAUUACAAUGAACUACCCAACAACAACAUUUGUUAGUUGGUAUAUAGAAGCGAUAUCCAAAAGUUCAUUUAAGGAUAUCCCACAAGAUUGUUAUCAAACAAAUAUUGCUUAUUAGCACACAACCCCAAAUCUUAACAUGUUUUAAGAUUUUGUCUUUCUUUCCAACUACAUCUUAUGGAGUCAUGAAAAUAUUGGAAGAUCUUCUAAUUGACAAUCAUAUUGUCUUAGAAGUAUAUAUCCUAUAUAUGGGUAAUAGAUAACAUCUAACGAACUAAAUCUUAUUCGAGUUCGUUCUUCUCCUAAAGAAGAAAUUCAUUAUCUUAUGAUGCUAUUUUCCUUGAUAUCUUUCAAGGAAACUCAUCUAAAGUGUUACUUUUCCUUGGAUCAAAUCUAAGGAGGUAAAUACUUUAGACGUCUUACUCAUCAACUUACAUUUCUUGAAUUCUUUGAAACCUUUUGCAAAGUAUUCGGACUUGUGUUUAUUCAAAAUAAACUAUAGUCCAACCGAGAGUUAUCUUCGGUGAAUGUCAUCCAACAUGAGUAGUAUUAUGUUGUGGACAAGUGCCACUAACAUCUAAGUGAAUUAACCUCAACAAGUUUGUGAUUCUUUCUUCUUUCCAAAAGAAUAAAGAUUCAAACAUUUUCCCUUCUAUACAAUUUUAAUAAGAAGGUAUUGGAUCCGGAUCUAACGAUCCAAAGCGUCCAUCUAUGACCAACUCGUAAUUUAUGUUUUAGAGGUAUCACAACUUUAGUUGGGAUUAGUCACUACCUUGCAACCUUUUGGGUUUUAAGCAUCAUUAUUUUCUAAACAGUUAACACUACCAUAUUAUCUCUACUUUUAGAGACAAUCAAUUAGAUUACAAUAAUCUAAUCAUUCAUUAAUAAAGAACAAUGUUUUGUCAAACAAAACAUUUAUCCAUUUCACAUAGUGACGGAAUUUAGUUCCUUAAAAUUGGAAUAUAAAGACAAUCUAUGUUUUUCCAAUUUCUUUGGUAGUUCAUAUGAGGAAGUAAGUACCAUCUGCUUUCGCAGAGAUCUAUAUUUGAUUCACGUUCCGAAUGUGAAGCACCUUUUCUUCUCUCAUAUAUAUCUUCUACUUCUUAUUAGUCACACUUUUACAACGAUUGUAAAACAUAGUUACUAAUAUGGAAUCAAGCAUUCAAGUAGAAGAACCAACUGUUUUGAACUUUUCAAGAACAAUUUACAACACAUUUGAAAGGUGUGUUCUUGUCACUUGCAAGACAUUUCUUGCAAAUACCCCUUCCAAUGUCCAUCAUUUCAUAAAGAAAGUUUGUUCCCUUGGAGUUAAUUUUAUCUUCUUCAUUUGACUUCUCCUUUGACUACAAUAGU
This 1668-nucleotide long non-coding RNA is filed under the name Malus domestica (apple). Its description in RNAcentral is "long non-coding RNA (MDOM_LNC005915)". The record is from RNAcentral. Lineage: Eukaryota; Viridiplantae; Streptophyta; Magnoliopsida; Rosales; Rosaceae.